GGCGAACGGCUGAGUAACACGUGGGCAACCUGCCCUUUGCACUGGGAUAGCCUCGGGAAACCGAGGUUAAUACCGGAUACUCCAUAUUUGUCGCAUGGCGAAUAUGGGAAAGCUCCGGCGGCAAAGGAUGGGCCCGCGGCCUGUUAGCUAGUUGGUGGGGUAGUGGCCUACCAAGGCAAUGAUGGGUAGCCGGGUUGAGAGACCGACCGGCCAGAUUGGGACUGAGACACGGCCCAGACUCCUACGGGAGGCAGCAGCC
This 259-nucleotide ribosomal RNA is filed under the name uncultured Atopobium sp. RNAcentral's name for it is "partial 16S ribosomal RNA". It matches the Rfam family "Bacterial small subunit ribosomal RNA", at positions 97 to 355 of the family's 1533-position model. The record is from RNAcentral. Lineage: Bacteria; Bacillati; Actinomycetota; Coriobacteriia; Coriobacteriales; Atopobiaceae.